AUUGAACGCUGGCGGCAUGCCUUACACAUGCAAGUCGAACGGUAACAGGCCGCAAGGUGCUGACGAGUGGCGAACGGGUGAGUAAUGCAUCGGAACGUGCCCAGUCGUGGGGGAUAACUGCUCGAAAGAGCAGCUAAUACCGCAUACGACCUGAGGGUGAAAGCGGGGGACCGUAAGGCCUCGCGCGAUUGGAGCGGCCGAUGUCAGAUUAGGUAGUUGGUGAGGUAAAGGCUCACCAAGCCGACGAUCUGUAGCUGGUCUGAGAGGACGACCAGCCACACUGGGACUGAGACACGGCCCAGACUCCUACGGGAGGCAGCAGUGGGGAAUUUUGGACAAUGGACGCAAGUCUGAUCCAGCCAUGCCGCGUGCGGGAA
This 377-nucleotide ribosomal RNA is filed under the name uncultured bacterium. RNAcentral describes it as "bacterial SSU rRNA". It matches the Rfam family "Bacterial small subunit ribosomal RNA", at positions 29 to 409 of the family's 1533-position model. The record is from RNAcentral.